This 630-nucleotide ribosomal RNA is filed under the name uncultured bacterium. RNAcentral describes it as "bacterial SSU rRNA". It matches the Rfam family "Bacterial small subunit ribosomal RNA", at positions 15 to 654 of the family's 1533-position model. The record is from RNAcentral.
GAUCAUGGCUCAGGACGAACGCUGGCUGCGUGCUUAACACAUGCAAGUCGAGGGCAGGGAGCAAUCCCUGACCGGCGAACGGGUGCGUAACACGUGAGCGACCUACCCUGGUGUGGGGGAUAGCCGGCCCAACGGCCGGGUAAUACCGCAUACGCUCUCUGGGGGGCAUUCCCUGGAGAACAAAGCCUUCGGGCGCAUUGGGAGGGGCUCGCGGCCUAUCAGCUAGUUGGCGAGGUAACGGCUCACCAAGGCGACGACGGGUAGCUGGUCUGAGAGGAUGGCCAGCCACAUUGGGACUGAGAGACGGCCCAGACUCCUACGGGAGGCAGCAGUGGGGAAUCUUGCGCAAUGGGCGAAAGCCUGACGCAGCGACGCCGCGUGCGGGAGGACGGCCUUCGGGUCGUAAACCGCUGUUGCCCGGGACGAAUGCCCCUUUGGAGGGGAGUGACGGUACCGGGUGAGGAAGCACCGGCUAACUCCGUGCCAGCAGCCGCGGUAAUACGGAGGGUGCGAGCGUUGUCCGGAAUCACUGGGCGUAAAGGGCGCGUAGGCGGCGCGAGGAGUCGGGGGUGAAAGUCCGGGGCUCAACCCCGGAUCGGCCAUCGAUACUCUCGCGCUGGAGCACAGUAG